UACGGAGGGUGCAAGCGUUAUCCGGAUUCACUGGGUUUAAAGGGUGCGUAGGUGGGCAGGUAAGUCAGUGGUGAAAUCCCCGAGCUUAACUUGGGAACUGCCAUUGAUACUAUUUGUCUUGAAUACUGUGGAGGUUAGCGGAAUAUGUCAUGUAGCGGUGAAAUGCUUAGAUAUGACAUAGAACAUCAAUUGCGAAGGCAGCUGGCUACACAAUGAUUGACGCUGAGGCACGAAAGCGUGGGGAGCAAACAGG
RNAcentral lists this ribosomal RNA (253 nucleotides) under uncultured bacterium. RNAcentral describes it as "partial 16S ribosomal RNA". It matches the Rfam family "Bacterial small subunit ribosomal RNA", at positions 524 to 776 of the family's 1533-position model. The record is from RNAcentral.